GUCCUCGGGCAUGCAGAGAGGCGCGGGAGAUGCCGCUCGGUGUGACGGGUCCGGUGAUGCGGUCGGCGCAACGAGUCAGGGUCGAGGGCGUCGCCUAGGACGACGUGGCGGCGGGCGGCGUGGGCUCUGGUCUCCGGUGAGCUGCACGUCGGAGCACCAAAACAAGAUCUACGCAAGUCAAAAGAUGCGAAACACCGAGAUUGCCCUUCGGGGAAGAUUGCCCUGACAGGUGGGUCCCACCUGUCAGCGGCACGGUGCAGGCUCGGGCGCGGUCGGGACGAGGCCGGUUCGGCCCAUUUGGCCGGGCCGGUCCGGUUUUCUGCUUUUUUUUUUUCCUUUUAGCCUUUUCUUUUUUACCCUUUUCUUAUUUCUUUGAUAUCUUUUGAUUUUGAACUCCAAGUUGGUCCAAAUAAAUUCCAGAAAAUUUGUAAAAUCAUGUUUUAUCAUGAUUCAACUUUUGGGAGUAAUUUCCCCUCAAAAUAAAAUAUCUAAAAAUACGUUUGCCCUAUAAAUGCCUUUAGGGCUAUAUAACUAAUUAAAUAAAAUAGUUUUUCAACUCCAAAUAAUUAUCCAAAAAUUAUGGGAUAGAUUAUUUAUGCAACAAACCCCUUUUAUAAAUAAACCCUAUUGGUUUAAAGAUCCAUAGCUCAAAUGGGUGUAAACCCUAGAGUUUAAAUUGAAAUAAAAUCUUUCUAAAGCCUUUUGAGAUUCAAAUUUGAAUUCAAAUAUGCAAUUGUGGCAUGAUGCUUAUGGAUGCAAUGCACAGGUAAGAAUUUGAAAUUUUUGGGAUGUUACACAUACCGAUCUUUCAAUUGGUAUCAGAGCCUCGUCUCUUAAAUAGGGCUUAACCGCCUUAAGAGUAUGGCCGACGUGAGUGGUGUGGUUGGAAACAAAGCUACUAUGGGCACCAAAGUGAGUAUGGACGUGUUGAUUAAGAUUUUGAGAUAUCUUAAUCCAUCCAUACUCAUUGAGGUUAAAUACAUGGUGGCCAAGAACAUUAAAGCCAAUGUUCCCACUACAUCUUACACCAACUCCAAGUUGCCCAAAUUCUCAGCCUUUGAGGAAAUGGACAAACCGGGUGUGGAUGCCGAAGCUUUAAAAGCUAAGGAUAAUAAUAGUGAUGUGGGAGCAAACCAUUCCCAAGGAAUAGGUGUCAUAUUGUGAUGUGGGGUCAUAUUGUG
Molecule: long non-coding RNA, 1181 nt
Filed under: Brachypodium distachyon (stiff brome)
Lineage: Eukaryota; Viridiplantae; Streptophyta; Magnoliopsida; Poales; Poaceae
Description: long non-coding RNA (BDIS_LNC003405)
Source: RNAcentral